UGACGGUACCUGGAGAAAAAGCAACGGCUAACUACGUGCCAGCAGCCGCGGUAAUACGUAGGUUGCAAGCGUUGUCCGGAUUUACUGGGUGUAAAGGGCGUGUAGGCGGCAUGGCAAGUCAGAAGUGAAAGACCGGGGCUCAACCCCGGGGCUGCUUUUGAAACUGUCGUGCUUGAGUCCAGGAGGGGCAAGCGGAAUUCCUAGUGUAGCGGUGAAAUGCGUAGAUAUUAGGAAGAACACCGGUGGCGAAGGCGGCUUGCUGGACUGGGACUGACGCUGAGGCACGAAAGCGUGGGGAGCAAACAGGAUUAGAUACCCUG
Molecule: ribosomal RNA, 320 nt
Filed under: uncultured bacterium
Lineage: Bacteria
Description: bacterial SSU rRNA
Rfam family: Bacterial small subunit ribosomal RNA
Source: RNAcentral